GACGAACGCUGGCGGCGUGCCUAAUACAUGCAAGUCGAGCGCCGAAGGAUGGUACUUGUACCCACUGGAUGAGCAGCGAACGGGUGAGUAACGCGUGGGGAAUCUGCCUUUGAGCGGGAGACAACAUUUGGAAACGACUGCUAAUACCGCAUAAAAACUUUAAACACAAGAUUUAAGUUUGAAAGAUGCAAUUGCAUCACUCAAAGAUGAUCCCGCGUUGUAUUAGCUAGUUGGUGAGGUAAAGGCUCACCAAAGCGAUGAUACAUAGCCGACCUGAGAGGGUGAUCGGGCACAAUGGGACUGGGGCACGGCCCAAACCCCUACGGGGGGCAGCAGUAGGGGACCUUCGGCAAAGGACGAAAGUCUGACCGAAGAACGACGGGGGAGUGAAGGAGGGUUUCGGAUCGUAAAACUCUGUUGGUAGAGAAGAACGUUGAGGAGAUUGGAAAGCUCAUCAAGUGACGGUAACUACACAGAAAGCGACGGCUAACUACGUG
This 497-nucleotide ribosomal RNA is filed under the name uncultured bacterium. RNAcentral describes it as "partial 16S ribosomal RNA". It matches the Rfam family "Bacterial small subunit ribosomal RNA", at positions 28 to 507 of the family's 1533-position model. The record is from RNAcentral.